RNAcentral lists this transfer RNA (76 nucleotides) under Ruminococcus flavefaciens. RNAcentral describes it as "tRNA-Gln". It matches the Rfam family "tRNA". From Rfam's summary of the family: Transfer RNA (tRNA) molecules are approximately 80 nucleotides in length. Lineage: Bacteria; Bacillati; Bacillota; Clostridia; Eubacteriales; Oscillospiraceae. RNAcentral also lists the same sequence under 1 other name. The record is from RNAcentral.
UGGGAUGUAGCCAAGCGGUAAGGCAACAGACUUUGACUCUGUCAUCUCGUGGGUUCGAAUCCCGCCAUCCCAACCA